AGAGUUUGAUCCUGGCUCAGGAUGAACGCUGGCGGUGUGCCUAACACAUGCAAGUCGAACGGGGUUUAUCUGACGAAACUCUCCGGAGGGAAGAUAUCUCAACCUAGUGGCGGACGGGUGAGUAACGCGUGGGCAACCUGCCCUGCACCGGGGGACAACAGCCAGAAAUGGCUGCUAAUACCGCAUAAGCCUGCUGUCUCGCAUGGCACAGCAGGGAAAACCUCGGUGGUACAGGAUGGAUCCGCGUCUGAUUAGUUAGUUGGCAGGGUAACGGCCUACCAAAACAACGAUCAGUAGCCGGCUUGAGAGAGUGGACGGCCACAUUGGGACUGAGACACGGCCCAGACUCCUGCGGGAGGCAGCAGUGGGGAAUAUUGCACAAUGGGGGGAACCCUGAUGCAGCAAUGCUGCGUGGGUGAAGAAGCACUUCGGUGCGUAAAGCCCUGUCAGCAGGGAAGAAAAUGACAGUACCUGGACAAGAAGCCCCGGCUAACUACGUGCCAGCAGCCGCGGUAAUACGUAGGGGGCAAGCGUUAUCCGGAUUUACUGGGUGUAAAGGGAGCGCAGGCGGCGUGGCAAGUCAGAUGUGAAAUCCCGGGGCCCAACCCCGGGAGUGCUUUUGAAACUGCCAUGCUGGAGUGCCGGAGAGGUAAGCGGAAUUCCUAGUGUAGCGGUGAAAUGCGUAGAUAUUAGGAGGAACACCAGUGGCGGAGGCGGCUUACUGGACGGUAACUGACGUUGAGGCUCGAAAGCGUGGGGAGCAAACAGGAUUAGAUACCCUGGUAGUCCACGCCGUAAACGAUG
Molecule: ribosomal RNA, 804 nt
Filed under: uncultured bacterium
Lineage: Bacteria
Description: bacterial SSU rRNA
Rfam family: Bacterial small subunit ribosomal RNA
Source: RNAcentral